UAUUUUUCUAACCAAACUGCUGGGUUAAGGCUGAAUUUUUAGAGGUUGGGUCAAUUUAACACAUCAUUGGGUUAAAAAUUCUGACCCAGCGUAUUGGGUUAAAAAAGGCGGGAAAUAGUAAGAUCCUCCCCCUUGUCUGUGAGCCCACUUCACCAUUUUAAACCAGAGGAUGACACGGACAUUAAUGGAGCUUCACACCAGCAAGGAUUUAAAAUAAGAUAAAUGGGUGGAUGUGGCUUUGCUGUUGCUGCCAGUGCUUCUCCAAACGGCACCAUACAAGUUGAAGGAGAGCAUUCCGACCAAGCAGAGGUUCAGCAGGCCUUCACUGACUUCCAACCUACUGGAACCAGCCGGUGAAGAACCUGAAUGGGACCACAGUGGAGCACCACAUGUCCUUAUGGCUGCAGAAGACCAUCGAUGUUCCCAAGAAUUUGUGAUCAUCAGUGGAACUGGAAUACCCAUCUGUUCUUAAACAUUUUUGUGUUGAUGUCAACUCUCCAAAACCACGCGCACAGAUUUUGGGGUUUAAUCAGACAUUUAUCUUUGCAUCAUGAAUCAAAUGCUGUGAAGCUCUGAGGGCUCAUGUUGCUAUGAUGUAAGGUUGAUGUUCUGCUGACUAAAGCAUUAAGGUGAGUGUUGGGUGUUGAUGGACAUUUACUUCACUACAGUUCUUCCAUUAAAGUUGUUUAACGUGUUGAAGACAUUACAAAUUACAAAAUGUUUAAUAUUUGUCAUUAAAAAAAUGCAAUUAGUAGUCAUUUACAAAACAAGUUUGAAAAUGAAUGCAUGUUUGAGAAAGUAGAAAAUGCAACGUUAUUAUCUAUGUAUUUUGAAAAUUAACAUAAUUUUUGUGAUAAAGAUUUGACUGAGACAUGUCCAAUUUGUUUUAUUGAAUUAUUCAAUUUGUAUUUUAUUUAUUGUAUUGUAUUUACUAUAGAAUUGCGUCAUUUUAACCCAAGCUUUAGUAAUUUAAUAACCCAGAAGUUGGGUUUUAUUUUAACCCAGUUUUGGGUAGUCCUAACUAUACAGUUGGGUCAUUUUAACCCAUUGAUUGGGUAGAAAGCCUAACCCAAUAAGCUGGGUCAAACUCAUAACCCAACCCUGCUUGGUUAAAAUAACCCAGCACUGGGUCGGUCCCUUUUUGACCCAGCACCUGGGUUACAAAACAACCCAAAUUGGGUUAUUUUUAACCCAGCAGUUUUAUUUGAAUGAUCUCUGUAAAAUUUAUUUCUUCAUCAAACCCCACAAGUCUUCUCAUCAUUCUGCUCCACUGUUUCUCCCCCUUCACUUUUUCCUCUUUGCUUUCCUCUGAUAUCUAUUCCUUAUUUAUCAUUAUUUACUUCUGUUCUGGGCUUUCCAAAACCAUAAAUUAAGUUCUAACACAAAAAUGUGUUCCCUUUUUAUGUCCUCUCUCCCUGUUUUCAUUCCAACUCCGGUGUGUGUGCCUUCUGACAGAAGUCCUAACCUGCAGCUUGCCUCAACCAGGUGUAGCACUAUAAAUGAAAGGUUUGCAGCCAGGUUCCUCUCUCAGGGAUGCCUUCUGCUACAUCUUGGUUUUCUUUGGGUUCUCAGUUGACCAGACAGAUUGAGUAAAACAUGGCAAAUAAAGGAGAUGAAUAAAAAAGAAUGAGUAACAGAGAUCUGACACCAGUAAAAAGAGCGGCCAGACG
Nothobranchius furzeri (turquoise killifish) is the source of this 1670-nucleotide non-coding RNA. Lineage: Eukaryota; Metazoa; Chordata; Actinopteri; Cyprinodontiformes; Nothobranchiidae. The record is from RefSeq and is a predicted model, not a curated record.